This 1283-nucleotide long non-coding RNA is filed under the name Gossypium barbadense (sea-island cotton). RNAcentral's name for it is "long non-coding RNA (GBAR_LNC013259)". The record is from RNAcentral. Lineage: Eukaryota; Viridiplantae; Streptophyta; Magnoliopsida; Malvales; Malvaceae.
UGAUCUGAAUAAUUUCAGGUUUGACCCCAUCAAGGAGUCCAUCGUCUCACGUGAGAUGACACGCAGGUACAUGAUGGACAUGAUCACCUAUGCUGAUACCGAUGUGGUGGUCGUCGGUGCCGGCUCCGCCGGGCUCUCUUGUGCCUAUGAGCUUAGCAAGAACCCCUCCGUACAGAUAGCUAUUGUCGAGCAGUCUGUUAGCCCCGGAGGUGGUGCCUGGCUCGGUGGGCAGCUUUUCUCUGCCAUGGUAAAUCUUAAAAAAACAAAAAUCAUUUUGGGUUCUCUUUUAUGAAAUUUCUUUUGUUUUAAGGCCUUGAAAUUGUCUCAAACUCUAUGUUUAUUCAGGUAGUGCGGAAACCAGCUCAUCGCUUCCUCGACGAACUCGCCAUUGAAUAUGAUGAACAAGACGACUAUGUUGUGAUCAAGCAUGCAGCCCUUUUCACAUCCACUAUCAUGAGCAAGCUUCUAGCCCGCCCCAACGUGAAGCUGUUCAACGCUGUGGCGGCGGAGGACUUAAUAGUGAAGGAAGGGAGAGUUGGUGGUGUUGUGACAAACUGGGCCCUGGUGUCAAUGAACCAUGACACACAGUCCUGCAUGGACCCUAAUGUGAUGGAGGCCAAGGUGGUGGUGAGCUCUUGUGGUCAUGAUGGGCCAUUUGGAGCCACCGGGGUGAAGAGGUUGAAAAGCAUUGGGAUGAUUGAUAGUGUGCCAGGGAUGAAGGCACUGGAUAUGAAUACAGCUGAGGAUGCUAUAGUGAGGCUGACUAGGGAAAUUGUGCCUGGGAUGAUUGUCACCGGGAUGGAAGUUGCUGAGAUUGAUGGAUCCCCAAGAAUGGUAAUUUUAUUCCCACUUGCACAGUCAUUUUUAUUACUGUUGUUGUUGGACUAUUAUUAACAUAUUAACAAAUACAGGGGCCAACAUUUGGAGCAAUGAUGAUAUCAGGGCAAAAGGCAGCCCAUCUUGCCCUGAAAUCAUUAGGAUUGCCUAAUGCAAUUGAUGGAACAUAUGUGGGAAGCAUUCACCCGGAGCUGAUCUUGGCCGCUGCAGAUUCCGCCGAGACCGCUGACGCUUAGUUGCAAGGGUCAUAGUUGCUAAACUGCUAUGGAGAUAGGAGGAAUUGGAAUAAUGUGCAGUCAUUGGUAGGAUUUGGAAUAAUCUCCUGUAACUUAGUAGCAAAACCUUAGCAUUUUGUAGCUUGUUGUUCUUCUCCUUGCAUGCCUUUUAAUUGAGUUCUGUUCUCUUUCUUCUUUGUCUUCUAUAUACUUGCAACUUCCACAGUUAAG